RNAcentral lists this ribosomal RNA (344 nucleotides) under uncultured bacterium. RNAcentral's name for it is "bacterial SSU rRNA". It matches the Rfam family "Bacterial small subunit ribosomal RNA", at positions 8 to 352 of the family's 1533-position model. The record is from RNAcentral.
AGAGUUUGAUCCUGGCUCAGAUUGAACGCUGGCGGCAUGGCUAAAACAUGCAAGUCGAACGCGAAAGUACCUUCGGGUGCGAGUAGAGUGGCGAAAGGGCGAGGAAUUCGUUUCUAACGUGCCCCAAGGCCAGGGAUAGCCCAGGGAAACCUGGAUUAAUACCUGAUGAUCCCGGUAGGUCGCAUGACCCUCCGGGCAAAGAUUUAUCACCUUGGGAUCGGGAAACGUCCUAUCAGCUUGUUGGUGGGGUAACGGCCUACCAAGGCGAAGACGGGUAGCGGGUGUGAGAGCAUGACCCGCCGCAUCGGAACUGAGACACUGUCCGGACACCUACGGGUGGCUGC